AGUGAACGCUGGCGGUAGGCCUAACACAUGCAAGUCGAACGGCAGCACAGUAAGAGCUUGCUCUUACGGGUGGCGAGUGGCGGACGGGUGAGGAAUACAUUGGAAUCUACUUUUUCGUGGGGGAUAACGUAGGGAAACUUACGCUAAUACCGCAUACGACCUACGGGUGAAAGCAGGGGAUCUUCGGACCUUGCGCGAUUGAAUGAGCCGAUGUCGGAUUAGCUAGUUGGCGGGGUAAAGGCCCACCAAGGCGACGAUCCGUAGCUGGUCUGAGAGGAUGAUCAGCCACACUGGAACUGAGACACGGUCCAGACUCCUACGGGAGGCAGCAGUGGGGAAUAUUGGACAAUGGGCGCAAGCCUGAUCCAGCCAUACCGCGUGGGUGAAGAAGGCCUUCGGGUUGUAAAGCCCUUUUGUUGGGAAAGAAAAGCAGCAGGUUAAUACCCCGCUGUUCUGACGGUACCCAAUGAAUAAGCACCGGCUAACUUCGUG
Molecule: ribosomal RNA, 492 nt
Filed under: uncultured bacterium
Lineage: Bacteria
Description: partial 16S ribosomal RNA
Rfam family: Bacterial small subunit ribosomal RNA
Source: RNAcentral